RNAcentral lists this transfer RNA (88 nucleotides) under Prevotella sp. RNAcentral describes it as "tRNA-Ser". It matches the Rfam family "tRNA". From Rfam's summary of the family: Transfer RNA (tRNA) molecules are approximately 80 nucleotides in length. Their secondary structure includes four short double-helical elements and three loops (D, anti-codon, and T loops). Further hydrogen bonds mediate the characteristic L-shaped molecular structure. tRNAs have two regions of fundamental functional importance: the anti-codon, which is responsible for specific mRNA codon recognition, and the 3' end, to which the tRNAs corresponding amino acid is attached (by aminoacyl-tRNA synthetases). tRNAs cope with the degeneracy of the genetic code in two manners: having more than one tRNA (with a specific anti-codon) for a particular amino acid; and 'wobble' base-pairing, i.e. permitting non-standard base-pairing at the 3rd anti-codon position. The record is from RNAcentral. Lineage: Bacteria; Pseudomonadati; Bacteroidota; Bacteroidia; Bacteroidales; Prevotellaceae.
GGAGAGAUGCUCGAGUGGCUUAAGAGGUGCGCCUGGAAAGCGCAUAUACGCCAAAAGCGUAUCGGGGGUUCGAAUCCCCCUCUCUCCG